UCCGGGGUAGUUCAACGGUAGAACACUCGGCUGUCACCGAGAGGGUGCUGGUUCGAGUCCAGCCUCCGGAC
RNAcentral lists this transfer RNA (71 nucleotides) under Planctomycetota bacterium. RNAcentral's name for it is "Planctomycetes bacterium tRNA-OTHER". It matches the Rfam family "tRNA". Rfam says of the family: Transfer RNA (tRNA) molecules are approximately 80 nucleotides in length. The record is from RNAcentral. Lineage: Bacteria; Pseudomonadati; Planctomycetota.